Long non-coding RNA from Clupea harengus (Atlantic herring), 1225 nucleotides. RefSeq lists it as uncharacterized. NCBI's taxonomy places the organism in Eukaryota, Metazoa, Chordata, Actinopteri, Clupeiformes, Clupeidae. The record is from RefSeq and is a predicted model, not a curated record.
CAACAUAAGAGAGAAGUAUUAAAGCAAGCAUCUUCAUUAUCUGUGCAAAUUUUUUAUUUUUUCAAAAGAAGCCCACUGAACAGUCUGGCAGCCUGCUCUACCCGUUGAGCUAAAAUUGCACAACAGAGGGAGUAUUGUGUGUUAUCUAUUAUAUAUAUUAUCAAUAUGUGUGUUAUCUUAUAUAUAUAUAUAUAUAUUCAGGAAUUCUUAAGAUGUAAGUACAUUGGUUUCUCACUCAGCUUGUACGGCAGGAAAACCAAUCAAUCCAUUCUGUGUAGUUGUCCUUGACCCCAAACACAUACAGACACAGACAGUUCUUCUUAUGAUGGAGUUAUGACAUCUCCUAAUUGGAUGACUCAAUACUCAGGGAUAAUUCAUGCAAUGCAGGUAAGGGGAGGGCAAACUCCACCAAUGAGAAUGGUUGCCACCAAACUCCACCAAUGAGAAUGAUUGCCAGUCAGAUAAAACAACUGUUCCCACUUGUUCUCUGCACCUGUUUCGUUUUCUCACGUUCACUUAUUGCAAGACAGCUCUCACACCCCUGGCAGCAUGCUUCACCCAGUGAUGGCAUGCAUUGUCUCCUGCAACACCAUCAUAACGGUGAUCGAGUGGACAUGGCUUAUGUCUGAGCUCAUGAAGGUCGGGCGGGUAGAAGAGGAUGAAGUAGCUCCAGCUCCGAUUAAAUGAUCAAGUAUAUGAGAAUUAGGCGCCCCUCAUUUGGAGGGAGUAGUUAGACUUCAGUUCUACAAUAAUUGCACAAUGCAUUGUCAGGGGAAAAUCACAAUGGGAAGACUGGAUUCUGGGUCCCAAACUUCAAGAAGAUGAUGAAGAGGGCGGCAGACAGGAGGAAGUAGACCAGAAGGAAGCAGCUGUGAUGAGGAGACACAGCUGCGCUGAGGCGAUGGAGGGGGGAGGAGAAGCGAGAGGAAGGGAUUGCUGCCUAGGUUCUAGACCUGGUCCAGACUGAGACAACGUUGACUGUCCUGGUUGUUUGAUCCAAAAUCUAAGUACCAUCCCUUGUUGUCUUAAAUAAGACCUAUGAAAGCUAUCUAGAAGUAGAUGUGAGCUGCACCACAGUAGAGUAGAGUGUUCGUUAUAUACUGUAGUUACCUCUUGUCAAGGGGUCUCGCUGUUAAUGUUUAUAACUGUGAGAAAUGUACUCCAUUGCUUUACUCACUUGUUAAGAUUGGAAAUGCCUCCCUCAGUAAAGACAAAAGCCAAGGCA